Molecule: ribosomal RNA, 481 nt
Filed under: uncultured bacterium
Lineage: Bacteria
Description: partial 16S ribosomal RNA
Rfam family: Bacterial small subunit ribosomal RNA
Source: RNAcentral
UUGAACGCUGGCGGCAUGCUUUACCCCUGCAAGUCGAACGGUAACAGGCCGCAAGGUGCUGACGAGUGGCGAACGGGUGAGUAAUGCAUCGGAACGUGCCCAGUCGUGGGGGAUAACUACUCGAAAGAGUAGCUAAUACCGCAUACGAUCUAUGGAUGAAAGCGGGGGACCGUAAGGCCUCGCGCGAUUGGAGCGGCCGAUGUCAGAUUAGGUAGUUGGUGGGGUAAAGGCUCACCAAGCCAACGAUCUGUAGCUGGUCUGAGAGGACGACCAGCCACACUGGGACUGAGACACGGCCCAGACUCCUACGGGAGGCAGCAGUGGGGAAUUUUGGACAAUGGGCGCAAGCCUGAUCCAGCAAUGCCGCGUGCAGGAAGAAGGCCUUCGGGUUGUAAACUGCUUUUGUACGGAACGAAACGGCUCUGGUUAAUACCCGGGGCUAAUGACGGUACUGUAAGAAUAAGCACCGGCUAACUACGUG